RNAcentral lists this ribosomal RNA (492 nucleotides) under uncultured bacterium. Its description in RNAcentral is "partial 16S ribosomal RNA". It matches the Rfam family "Bacterial small subunit ribosomal RNA", at positions 29 to 507 of the family's 1533-position model. The record is from RNAcentral.
AGUGAACGCUGGCGGUAGGCCUAACACAUGCAAGUCGAACGGCCGCACAGUAAGAGCUUGCUCUUACGGGUGGCGAGUGGCGGACGGGUGAGGAAUACAUCGGAAUCUACUUUUUCGUGGGGGAUAACGUAGGGAAACUUACGCUAAUACCGCAUACGACCUACGGGUGAAAGCAGGGGAUCUUCGGACCUUGCGCGAUUGAAUGAGCCGAUGUCGGAUUAGCUAGUUGGCGGGGUAAAGGCCCACCAAGGCGACGAUCCGUAGCUGGUCUGAGAGGAUGAUCAGCCACACUGGAAUUGAGACACGGUCCAGACUCCUACGGGAGGCAGCAGUGGGGAAUAUUGGACAAUGGGCGCAAGCCUGAUCCAGCCAUACCGCGUGGGUGAAGAAGGCCUUCGGGUUGUAAAGCCCUUUUGUUGGGAAAGAAAAGCAGCAGGUUAAUACCCCGCUGUUCUGACGGUACCCAAAGAAUAAGCACCGGCUAACUUCGUG